Molecule: unclassified non-coding RNA, 204 nt
Filed under: Sakaguchia lamellibrachiae
Lineage: Eukaryota; Fungi; Basidiomycota; Cystobasidiomycetes; Sakaguchiales; Sakaguchiaceae
Description: partial internal transcribed spacer 2
Source: RNAcentral
AACUCUCAACCCCCUUGUUUUAUAAUGAGACAGGCGUGGGCUUGGAUUAUGGCUGCUGCCGGCGUAAAUGUCGACUCGGCUGAAAUACACGAGCUACCCAUUUCUAAGAAAUAGACGGUUUGACUCGGCGUAAUAACAUAUUUCGCUGAGGACGUCACAUUCUCAAUAUUAGUGGUGCUUCUAAUGCGACAUCUAAAUUUAAGC